UAAGGGCCGACUAAAACCCUACAUGGUUUCGUGACGAUGUUUAAUAAGCGAAGGAACGAAGUACCACCAACACCCCUCACCCGGUUGAACACUUUCAAGGCAAAUAUUUUGAUCGAGAUCAAUGAUAUGAAAGAUUUGAAGUGACCUUCAAGAAUGAAGUCAACUCCUAACACCAAGGACAUGAGCAAGUAUUGUGAGUUCCAUUGGGAUCACGAGCAUACCACAGAGGAUUGCAAGGCUCUGCAAUGGGAAAUCGAGGCCCUUAUUAAAAGAGGGUUCUUAAGUAAUUACCUUGGUCAUGAUAAGCGCCCAAGGGAUGAUCUCGAGAGGAGGAAAGAGCCUGAAGUUAGAGGCAGUGGUCAACCCACGGCAAGAACCAUUAAAUCAUCAUCGGAGGCAUAGCAUCUAAGGGAGUCACAAACGGCAGGCGAAAGCAGUAUGCCCAACAGAUGAUACACCUUGAUGCCUUUAUUUUAGGAACUGGAAGAUCUCAUUCGUGUUAAUCCGCAAUCCUCAAGUUCGAGAAACCAGCAGGUGCAGAUUUUUGGUAGCAUCAGUCAGUAUUUAGUAAUGAAUAGUUGACCAAAUAAUCCAUUUUGUAUUUAUAUUUUAAUAGUGAUAUUUUGUUUUGAAGGGUAAAGAAUGC
This 646-nucleotide long non-coding RNA is filed under the name Olea europaea subsp. europaea. The record is from RNAcentral. Lineage: Eukaryota; Viridiplantae; Streptophyta; Magnoliopsida; Lamiales; Oleaceae.